Molecule: non-coding RNA, 148 nt
Filed under: Nomascus leucogenys (northern white-cheeked gibbon)
Lineage: Eukaryota; Metazoa; Chordata; Mammalia; Primates; Hylobatidae
Source: Rfam by way of RNAcentral
GCUGGGCGUGGUGGCGCGCGCCUGUAAUCCCAGCUACUUGGGAGGCUGAGACAGGAGAAUUGCUUGAACCUGGGAGGCAGAGGUUGUGGUGAGCCAAGAUCAUGCCACUGCACUCCAGCCUGGGUGACAGAGUAAGACUCUGUUUCAA